RNAcentral lists this ribosomal RNA (474 nucleotides) under uncultured bacterium. RNAcentral's name for it is "bacterial SSU rRNA". It matches the Rfam family "Bacterial small subunit ribosomal RNA", at positions 45 to 524 of the family's 1533-position model. The record is from RNAcentral.
GGCCUAACACAUGCAAGUCGAGCGAGAAAGGGGAAACCCAGAUAAAGCGGCGCACGGGUGAGUAACACGUAGGUAAUUUACCCCCAGGUGGUGGAUAACCUUCCGAAAGGAGGGCUAAUACAGCAUAAGACCACGUCUUCGCAAGGAGAUGAGGUCAAAGCCGGCCUCUUCAUGAAAGCUGGCGCCGAGGGAUGAGCCUGCGGCCCAUCACGGUAGUUGGUAGGGUAAUGGCCUACCAAGCCUAAGACGGGUAGCUGGUCUGAGAGGAUGAUCAGCCACACUGGGACUGAGACACGGCCCAGACUCCUACGGGAGGCAGCAGUGGGGAAUAUUGGACAAUGGGCGAAAGCCUGAUCCAGCAAUGCCGCGUGAGUGAUGAAGGCCUUAGGGUUGUAAAGCUCUUUUACCCGGGAUGAUAAUGACAGUACCGGGAGAAUAAGCCCCGGCUAACUCCGUGCCAGCAGCCGCGGUAAU